This 259-nucleotide ribosomal RNA is filed under the name uncultured Staphylococcus sp. RNAcentral describes it as "partial 16S ribosomal RNA". It matches the Rfam family "Bacterial small subunit ribosomal RNA", at positions 103 to 354 of the family's 1533-position model. Lineage: Bacteria; Bacillati; Bacillota; Bacilli; Caryophanales; Staphylococcaceae. The record is from RNAcentral.
CGGGUGAGUAACACGUGGAUAACCUACCUAUAAGACUGGGAUAACUUCGGGAAACCGGAGCUAAUACCGGAUAAUAUAUUGAACCGCAUGGUUCAAUAGUGAAAGACGGUUUUGCUGUCACUUAUAGAUGGAUCCGCGCCGCAUUAGCUAGUUGGUAAGGUAACGGCUUACCAAGGCAGCGAUGCGUAGCCGACCUGAGAGGGUGAUCGGCCACACUGGAACUGAGACACGGUCCAGACUCCUACGGGAGGCAGCAGAU